CCGGGGAGCCGGGCAGCCGCGUCAUCACUUCGUCUGAUGCCGAGGAAAGUCCGGGCUCCACGAAACAAGGGUGGCGGGUAACGCCCGCCGGCCCGGUGCAAACCGGGCAAGGGAAAGUGCCACAGAGAGCAAACCGCCGACGGGGCCUUUGGGCCCCGGGCAAGGGUGAAAGGGUGCGGUAAGAGCGCACCGCGCGACCGGCAACGGAAGCGGCAUGGCAAACCCCACCCGGAGCAAGACCGAAUAGGGGCAACGCGCAUCUGAAAAGAUGCAGGCGGGUUUCGCGCCAGUUGCCCGGGUUGGUUGCUGGAGCGGCCUGGCAACAGGCCGCCGAGAGGAAUGGCUGCCCGUGCCGAUACGGUCCACCAGUGGGAUACCGUCGGUGCGACAGAACCCGGCUUACAGGCUUCCCGGCGCG
RNAcentral lists this RNase P RNA (418 nucleotides) under Novosphingobium rhizosphaerae. Its description in RNAcentral is "RNase P RNA component class A". It matches the Rfam family "Bacterial RNase P class A". From Rfam's summary of the family: Ribonuclease P (RNase P) is a ubiquitous endoribonuclease, found in archaea, bacteria and eukarya as well as chloroplasts and mitochondria. Its best characterised activity is the generation of mature 5'-ends of tRNAs by cleaving the 5'-leader elements of precursor-tRNAs. The record is from RNAcentral. Lineage: Bacteria; Pseudomonadati; Pseudomonadota; Alphaproteobacteria; Sphingomonadales; Sphingomonadaceae.